RNAcentral lists this long non-coding RNA (765 nucleotides) under Olea europaea (common olive). RNAcentral's name for it is "long non-coding RNA (OEUR_LNC005064)". The record is from RNAcentral. Lineage: Eukaryota; Viridiplantae; Streptophyta; Magnoliopsida; Lamiales; Oleaceae.
CCUCAUAUGCCCAAAUCUGUCUGGACAGAAAGAAAAAAUUUGUCACAUAAAUAUCCAUCCAAAAAAUGAAGAAAACUGUUCGAAUACUUAAGAACAAAAAAAAUAAACAUAAUGCUGUUCUUACUUACAUGGCGAUCGAAAAUUCGUAAAUUGUGUAAUUGACGUCCUUCUCGUUCUUCAUCUUUGCUUCGCUUAUUUUACGUGCCCAAGUACCCCAGAACCCCUUCAACAAACACCUAUACCCCACUUUGGCCUAGGGGUAGGAAAAAAUCAGCUACAAGUCGUCGACGAGGGAAAGCGUGUCCUCAUCAAUGCCGACAUUAUUAUCCGGAGCAGUGAUAACUCCUUCCACAAUCAGAGCAAGCCUGAGCUUGUAUCUAUUUGCCCAGGGUGUCAACGCGCAGACGAAGGUCUUCUCCAACUGGGCACAUGAAAUCUUCUCCAGCGAUUUGAAAUACUUUUCCUUCAUCCUUCUCUUCUCCAAUGCUUUUGUGUACCGAUCGCCCUCCGGAAACGAGUCAGCAUGCAGUCCAGUGACGAUAGCAUACUCUUGCAGUCUAAAUCGAGUAAGGUGGCCUUGGACGUUGAACCAUAACUCGUGGGACUUAUCGCAACGGAUCACUUGACACACAAGUGCCUGGAUUAGUUGAGAUGAAAACUAGAUUUUCGGAACGUCAACAAGAAACCCAAGGCAGGAGUUGCGAAAGUCAGCUUGCAGUCUGUCGUCCAAGUGAUCGAUCACUGUUUUAAUGUACUUUAGGUUGC